UACCCGCAGCACAAGUGGUGGUCAUUAUUAUUGGGCCUAAAGCGUCCGUAGCUGGCUUGUUAGAUGCCUGGGUAAAUCGAAGCGCUCAACGUUUCGAAUUCCGGGUAGACCGGCAAGCUCGAGACCGGGAGAGGUGUAGGCUACUCGAGGGGGUAGGGGGUAAAAAUCCUGUAAUCCUUCGGGGGAGGACCAGUGCGAAGGCGCUACACUAGAACGGCUCUGACAGUGAGGGAC
This 234-nucleotide ribosomal RNA is filed under the name uncultured bacterium. Its description in RNAcentral is "partial 16S ribosomal RNA". It matches the Rfam family "Archaeal small subunit ribosomal RNA", at positions 474 to 705 of the family's 1478-position model. The record is from RNAcentral.